Molecule: unclassified non-coding RNA, 174 nt
Filed under: air metagenome
Description: partial contains small subunit ribosomal RNA, internal transcribed spacer 1, and 5.8S ribosomal RNA
Rfam family: Eukaryotic small subunit ribosomal RNA (bases 1-46)
Source: RNAcentral
AAGUCGUAACAAGGUUUCCGUAGGUGAACCUGCGGAAGGAUCAUUAAUAAAUGGCGAAAGCUUUUAUCAUUAUCUACACCUGUGAACUAUUGCCUUCGGGCUACAAACAUAAUGUAAUGAAUGUAAACUAUUAUAACAAAAUUAUAACUUUCAACAACGGAUCUCUUGGCUCUC